Molecule: transfer RNA, 63 nt
Filed under: Microbacterium phage Rasovi
Lineage: Duplodnaviria; Heunggongvirae; Uroviricota; Caudoviricetes
Also listed under: 1 other name
Description: tRNA-Pro
Source: RNAcentral
GGGGUGGCCCGGUGGCCGGGCGCGAUCUGGGGUCGCGGUAGGGGUUCGAUUCCCCUCACUCCA